This 910-nucleotide ribosomal RNA is filed under the name uncultured bacterium. RNAcentral's name for it is "bacterial SSU rRNA". It matches the Rfam family "Bacterial small subunit ribosomal RNA", at positions 8 to 916 of the family's 1533-position model. The record is from RNAcentral.
AGAGUUUGAUCAUGGCUCAGGAUGAACGCUAGCGGCAGGCCUAACACAUGCAAGCCGAGGGGUAGCAGGGUAGCAAUACCGCUGACGACCGGCGGACGGGUGAGUAACGCGUACGUAACCUACCUUUAACAGACGGAUAGCCCGGAGAAAUUCGGAUUAAUACGUCGUAAUACAUUUGAAUGGCAUCGUUUGAAUGUUAAAGUUGCGAAAUGGUUAAAGAUGGGCAUGCGUGCCAUUAGCUAGUUGGUGAGGUAACGGCCCACCAAGGCGAUGAUGGCUAGGGGUUCUAAAAGGAUGAUCCCCCACACUGGUACUGAGACACGGACCAGACUCCUACGGGAGGCAGCAGUGAGGAAUAUUGGUCAAUGGGUGCAAGCCUGAACCAGCCAUGCCGCGUGCAGGAUGACUGCCCUAAGGGUUGUAAACUGCUUUUGUACGGGAAGAAAUGCUUUAAAUAUUUAGAGUUUGACGGUACUGUAUGAAUAAGCAUCGGCUAACUCCGUGCCAGCAGCCGCGGUAAUACGGAGGAUGCGAGCGUUAUCCGGAUUUAUUAGGUUUAAAGGGUGCGUAGGCGGACUUAUAAGUCAGUGGUGAAAUACUAUAGCUUAACUAUAGCACUGCCGUUGAUACUGUAGGUCUUGAGUAUAGUCGAGGUAGGCGGAAUGUGUAAUGUAGCGGUGAAAUGCUUAGAUAUUACACAGAACACCGAUCGCGUAGGCAGCUUACUAGGCCUAUACUGACGCUGAUGCACGAAAGCGUGGGGAGCAAACAGGAUUAGAUACCCUGGUAGUCCACGCUGUAAACGAUGAUCACUCGCUGUUGGCGAUACAUAGUCAGUGGCUGAGCGAAAGCAUUAAGUGAUCCACCUGGGGAGUACGGCGGCAACGCUGAAACUCAAAGGAAUUGACGG